Molecule: ribosomal RNA, 497 nt
Filed under: uncultured bacterium
Lineage: Bacteria
Description: partial 16S ribosomal RNA
Rfam family: Bacterial small subunit ribosomal RNA
Source: RNAcentral
GAUGAACGCUGGCGGCGUGCCUAAUACAUGCAAGUCGAGCGAACAGAUGAGGAGCUUGCUCCUCUGACGUUAGCGGCGGACGGGUGAGUAACACGUGGAUAACCUACCUAUAAGACUGGGAUAACUUCGGGAAACCGGAGCUAAUACCGGAUAAUAUAUUGAACCGCAUGGUUCAAUAGUGAAAGACGGUUUUGCUGUCACUUAUAGAUGGAUCCGCGCCGCAUUAGCUAGUUGGUAAGGUAACGGCUUACCAAGGCAACGAUGCGUAGCCGACCUGAGAGGGUGAUCGGCCACACGGGAACUGAGACACGGUCCAGACUCCUACGGGAGGCAGCAGUAGGGAAUCUUCCGCAAUGGGGGAAAGCCUAAUGGAGCAACACCGCGUGAGUGAUGAAGGUCUUCGGAUCGUAAAACUCUGUUAUUAGGGAAGAACAAAUGUGUAAGUAACUAUGCACGUCUUGACGGUACCUAAUCAGAAAGCCACGGCUAACUACGUG